UUAAAAAAUAAAGUGUUCAGUGGACAAUUCCUUCUCUUGAUAUGGAGGUUUUUAGGUCUCUGGAGGGGGGCCUUCUUUCUUUCUGGAUCAAGGUUAGUUUUCGUUUGUGAAUCUUUCUCCCAUGCAUAAUUUGUUGGUCAACAACCACAACUCAAUAUAAUUCAUUCUUUAAAUUCACUUAUUUCAAUCAUGCCUCAACUAAUUCAGCAAAACUCAACUAAUUCACUAACCACAACUCUCUUUCUGUCCGGAGGGAAUCAUUGUUUAUCAAUCAAUCAUGCCUCAAUUGGAUAAAUUUACUUAUUUCACACAAUUCUUCUGGUCAUGCCUUUUCCUCUUUA
This 341-nucleotide long non-coding RNA is filed under the name Medicago truncatula (barrel medic). RNAcentral's name for it is "lncRNA gene40987". The record is from RNAcentral. Lineage: Eukaryota; Viridiplantae; Streptophyta; Magnoliopsida; Fabales; Fabaceae.